UAGAAUGAACCACCAGUUGGAGAACAAUUCUCUAUGUGUAAAGCAAUGAAUUCUCCAGAAGCUGAUAGCACGGGGGUAUUGUGAUGACGUCUUCAUUCAAAGAUGAAAAGCUGAAGUUUCUUUGCAAGUUGAAGAAGUACGAAGAAAUGUCUUGGGAAUGUUAACAUCCUGCUGUCCUGAAGUAAUGAUGAAUACAGAUCUUGUCCAUUGGUGGGCGUGUCCCUUGAGUGAGGAUUUUGCUGCCUUUGUGAUGUUGGCGAGAAUUUGUUUUUAAAUGAAGAAUAUUUCCUUAGUGAGUAGGCUUUUCUCAAGAUCUUGUGGAUCAACAAACAAAGCAGCAGCAAGCCCCACCAAUAAUAAGGUGUAUUUAAGGAGCAUCACAGAAGCCAUUUCUGAAAAAUCAAUUGCAUCUUAACUAAUGUUCUGUGAAGCAAAGGGCAGAAGAGGAAUUGUGCAGUUACCUCUGAUCUUCAAAAGAACCUAGAGAAGGAAACACAGUAUUACGCUUAUUUACAUCUCAGCCUCCAGCAAGAUGAAGCUUGACCUCAGGUUGGCUCUAAAGUCACAAGCUAAAAGGAACAGUUAUGUAACGGAGAAUGGCUACAAUUAACUGUAACCAAACAGAAGGCUGUGAUGAAGGUAUCCAGGAAAAAAUGCAUAUGGAUUUAUUAAAUUAUAUCUCCCUUUUUAAUUGCUCUCACUGCUAGACUGCUAGCAACAACAACAACAAAAGGCAGAAAUUUUGUCCUGAUACAAGUGUUAUUCUUUGU
Non-coding RNA from Caretta caretta (loggerhead turtle), 770 nucleotides. NCBI's taxonomy places the organism in Eukaryota, Metazoa, Chordata, Testudines, Cheloniidae. The record is from RefSeq and is a predicted model, not a curated record.